GGCACAGAGUUUUGAUACUGUGGGUAAGGAACCAGCAUUAUUAUGGUUCAUUUUGAAUGAAUUUAUUGGACCAAAUAAACCAACUGGUUGUCAAAUUAUUGUGUGGGUUUCUGAUAUUAGAAUGUUUCACCAAAAAUAUUAUUUCUUUGUAUCUUUAUUCAUUCUACAUUCACAUUCAAAGCAGCAUCUGCAACUUCUGAAUUAUGGGUGGACAGGACACUUGAGUAUUUCUAUAGAUCAUUGAAUCUGAAAUUUUUAUGUAUUCCCUGAUCAAUAGCAUCAUUUCUUCAAUAUUCACAACAAUGCACCAACACGCUACUAAUCUCUGUUGCUUUAUUUAAUGAUAUUGGGACAGUUUGUCUGUUCAAUUUCUUUAUUCUACCAAUCAACUGGAUAGAGUUGCAGGAGAAUUAAAUAAUUCUCUGAGUGCUUUAACUUGGUGAUUCAUUCUUUUGGCAUCGAUUCUUCAUCCAGGAUGGUUUGCUAGGGAUCCAGUG
This 497-nucleotide unclassified non-coding RNA is filed under the name Hevea brasiliensis (rubber tree). Lineage: Eukaryota; Viridiplantae; Streptophyta; Magnoliopsida; Malpighiales; Euphorbiaceae. The record is from RNAcentral.